GUGCCAGCAGCCGCGGUAAUACGGGGGAUGCAAGCGUUAUCCGGAAUUAUUGGGCGUAAAGCGUCCUGAGGUGGCUUACCCAGUCGACUGUGAAAGCUCAAGGCUUAACCUUGAAACAGCAGUCGAAACUUGUAAGCUUGAGUACGGUAGGGGCAGAGGGAAUUCCCGGAGGAGAGGUGAAAUUCGUAGAUAUCGGGAGGAAGGCCAAAGGCGAAAGCACUCUGCUGGGCCGAUUACUGACACUGACAGACGAAAGCUAGGGGAGCGAAAGGGAUUAGAUACCCCUGUAGUCCUAGCCGUAAACGAUCAGGACUUGGCGUGGGCCCCGUCCGGGGUCCGUGUCGUAGCCAACGUGAUAAGUCCUGCGCCUGGGGAGUACGGUCGCAAGGCUGAAACUCAAAUGAAUUGACGG
Molecule: ribosomal RNA, 412 nt
Filed under: uncultured eukaryote
Lineage: Eukaryota
Description: bacterial SSU rRNA
Rfam family: Bacterial small subunit ribosomal RNA
Source: RNAcentral